Molecule: transfer RNA, 62 nt
Filed under: Gracilariopsis chorda
Lineage: Eukaryota; Rhodophyta; Florideophyceae; Gracilariales; Gracilariaceae
Description: tRNA-Val
Source: RNAcentral
GUAGCUCAGCCGGUUAGAGCGCUAGCCGCACAUGCUGUAGGCGCCGAGUUCGAGCGUCGGCA